CAUUCCUCUCUUUGGUUAGGUUUUUUAUUCCUAAGUAUUUUAUUUUUUCAAUGCUACCCCCAACAGUAUUUUUUAAAGAGUUUGGAAAGGAUCUUUUCUGUUUUGGAGGCAUGGGGUGAGGUGGAGUUGUCAAGGGAGAGAGUUGGGACUGGGUGUCAUGCAGCCCAGACUGACCGCACAUUUUGUAGCCCAGGAUGACUUUAAUCUCCAGAUCUCCCUGUUUCUGCCUCCUAAAUGCCAGGGUUAUAUGCGUAUGCCACCAUGCUGGCUGUUACCCAGUUCUUCCUGUCCCACAUCUAAAGUCCAUUAAAGAAAAACAACUGGCAGGCUCUAUUCUUCACGCCGGAAGCUUCCCUUUGGAGUCAAGCCGCCUGGGGUACUGUCCAGUCUCUGUGGGUCAGCUUACCAUCUCAGCUCUGCACUCUCUCGGUGGGCCUUCAACUGCUCAGUGGUGGCAGCCCCAGGGACUGUGGACUGUAACUCAGUGACGAUGUGUUGCCUGGUAUACACAAAGCCUUCAGUUCCAUCACCAGCACCAAAAAGAAAACAGAAAAAACCCUCAAAUGUGAGGACAUGCUCAGACCCUUCCACCAGGCCUUCCCAAGACCCAACCCGUCUUCACCAGAACUUUCUGAAGAUUGUGCCGCUGACCAGUCCAGGGGACCACCCUGUCAAAUGCUGCCCUCAUCCUCAUUCAGAGAAAUUUCUUUUCAUUGACCGUCGGUGAAUGCUGAGGCUUGUGGCUACACAACAUGUGGAGAAUAAAUGGUGGUUAGUGCUUAGCCCUAAAAAAGACAUGUGUGCCUUCCACUAGAAGGUUCAGGGAACAGUGCAGAGAGGGGGUUGGAAAGAAUCUAAGAGCUGGAAGAUAGGAAGCAGACUUGAGAAAGGCCAUCUUCUAGGCAAGACAUAACUGCUGCAGUCAUGAACUCACACCAUCUAUGCAUGCCUGCACUGAAAUCAUGAACUCACAGCAUCUAUGCAUGCCUGCCCUGCAAUCAUGAACUCACGGCAUCUAUGCAUGCCUGCAAUGUUUCUGCAGAAGUACUGGCUGGUCAGCAGACAGGCAUGGGUGGGAAGGAGAGGUUCAGGGGACCCACUCUCACUACUGAACAGAUACAGAUAGAAGCAGAAAGGCAGGGAGCCAUUGCCUUUAGCUGUGUGCCAUUGGA
This is a long non-coding RNA of Mesocricetus auratus (golden hamster), 1172 nucleotides long. RefSeq lists it as uncharacterized. The transcript is spliced from 4 exons. The record is from RefSeq and is a predicted model, not a curated record. Lineage: Eukaryota; Metazoa; Chordata; Mammalia; Rodentia; Cricetidae.